Molecule: long non-coding RNA, 456 nt
Filed under: Vulpes vulpes (red fox)
Lineage: Eukaryota; Metazoa; Chordata; Mammalia; Carnivora; Canidae
Description: lncRNA (ENSVVUG00000009248.1)
Source: RNAcentral
AUGCCCAAUGGUGUCACUGUCACCAAAGCAGUGACAUGGCCAAGUGUUCAGGACCAUGAGUGGAUGGCAGCAUAUGGACUCCAAGCUGCUUCCUGUGUCAUGGGCACGUCGGCAUGUAGCCAGCUCCUGAUGGUGGCUGGCAAUCCAGCGUUCUUGGCUUGUAGCUUCAUCUGCAAAGCGUGCACCUGCAUCCCAUUACCAGUUCCAUCCCUCCCUUCAAUUUGCCAGAAGACACCAAGAAACUUCGAGGCAGGAAUUCCAGUCCAAGGACCUGUUCUAAAGAUAAAGAUGUGUUCAAUGAGAUGUCUGUUACUUCAACAUAAUUUUUUUUAAGAAAUGCACUUAUCUUUUAAAGCAGCUUUACUUAGUUAUUAAUUGACACAAAGUAAACUGCACAUACAAUUUGUAAAUAUUGACACCUGAAUAAACUUGUCAUCAUAGUGAUAACGUUUUGCA